AAUGGACGAAAGUCUGACGCAGCCACGCCGCGUGAGUGAAGAAGGCCUUCGGGUUGUAAAGCUCUUUCGGCCGGGAAGAAAUCGCAUGGGUGAAUACCCUGUGUGGAUGACGGUACCGGAACAAGAAGCACCGGCUAACUACGUGCCAGCAGCCGCGGUAAUACGUAGGGUGCGAGCGUUAAUCGGAAUUACUGGGCGUAAAGCGUGCGCAGGCGGUUUGGUAAGACAGGCGUGAAAUCCCCGGGCUUAACCUGGGAACUGCGCUUGUGACUGCCAGGCUAGAGUACGGCAGAGGGGGGUGGAAUUCCACGUGUAGCAGUGAAAUGCGUAGAGAUGUGGAGGAACACCAAUGGCGAAGGCAGCCCCCUGGGUCGAUACUGACGCUCAUGCACGAAAGCGUGGGUAGCAAA
RNAcentral lists this ribosomal RNA (410 nucleotides) under uncultured bacterium. RNAcentral describes it as "bacterial SSU rRNA". It matches the Rfam family "Bacterial small subunit ribosomal RNA", at positions 370 to 772 of the family's 1533-position model. The record is from RNAcentral.